This is an RNA transcript of Papaver somniferum (opium poppy), 1506 nucleotides long. RefSeq lists it as uncharacterized. Lineage: Eukaryota; Viridiplantae; Streptophyta; Magnoliopsida; Ranunculales; Papaveraceae. The record is from RefSeq and is a predicted model, not a curated record. The transcript is spliced from 4 exons.
AAUCACUUCUUUCGCUUAUCCUCCUCUUCGGUUACAUAACUUAUUAACACCACCAUGAUUCAUACGUUACAAAACCAUGACUUGGGACAUUUAAUCAAUUUAUACCCGAUAAUCAAUUUCAUACGUUAUAAUAGAACAACAACCCCUUGAAAUGUUCAAUCUCGAGAGAGGUUAUCAUUAUCUGCCCAGGUUUCUCCGUUUCUUUCUUCAGCAAUUUCUUUUUCCUUCUUCUGCAUAUUCUCUCAUACCAGAUUUUUGUUGCUAUAUUAAGAAAAGACAUAUUAUCUAUCUCAGUGAUUCAACAAUGGCACUCAAAUCCAUUAUAGCUCUCCCCAGAUUAACCCAGUUACCGCGUAUCAGUGUCCUGUUUUUUGUUGCUUGACGAAAACGUAAGCAGCCUACACAAUGACCCGUUUAUUUUGCGCCCGAGUUAGUAUUCUGUGCUGAUCAUUAAACUUUAUGGUUUGCGUUCCUGCUAAAGAUUAUUAGCACCAAAGGCCGAAAAGUAGUUAGAUGUUAGAGCUGUAGCCCACAUCAUUCAUGGUGUGAAAUUAUUGAUUUGGUUUGAAAAUUAUUUGUGAAAAUAUCUUUGCACUAACAGAGACUCACCUUGAAGUCAUAAACAUAUGAUACUUAGUUUUUGUAGAAGAAAGAUGGAUCCAUAAAGCAACUUAUACCAUGUCCCGUUUAAUUUGCCCACGAAUAAUUAUUGGGUACUUCAACAAAUAAUAACUGAUUGCGGAUUGAUGAGUUGCAUGGGGUCAUUCCUAAAAACCUUAUUCAGGGGAUUUGCACCCUUCGUCCUUGAGGGUUGUUCCAUUUUCAUUGAUCAUUUCAAAUUGUUGGCCGAAAAACCACGUUUUCGUCCUGCAAAAAAUCUGGACCGUGUGCUUUUCAAGUGGUACACCGUGUGAAAAUUUGAGCAAUAAACUGUGUAAGUAUUAUCUCCACCGUUUUGCUCUUUUAUAUUUAGUCUUCCUGCAUGUUGCUAGAAUUAACUUAGAUUUGAGACUGAAAGGCUUAGCAUGGGAAACAUGUACUACUUGAGAUGUCACUAUAGUUUUUAAGUGUGUUGAGAAUGGUGCUCAUUGACUACUUAAUAUUUCUUUGCCUAUCAAUUUUUAUAAGUUGGUUUAGUUACCUCUCCCCAGCGCGCGAUGCUUAUAUUUUGAGAAAUGAAGGAACAAAGAUACGGGUAUUCCUAAAGUUUCUGAAACCAUGGACAAGUUAUAAUGGGCUGAUGGUACUUGGAGAUAUCAGGUGCUUAAUCUUGUAGAAGGUGUGACAAAAAGAGCCUACAGUUACAUGCAGGAGCUUAAUUUUGGAUUCACCGACUUUAGCUCAGUUUGCAGGUGGGAAUGAAAGGGAGACUACGUUGGCUGUUCUUAGUUAUUAUUUUUAAUUUGUAUGUGGAAAACCACUUUAUUUUGCACAUUUGACAUUAUACUGCCAGGAUUCUUUCUUACUGCACUUCGAGGUUUAUAUUUUCACCCUUAGUAUGCGAUA